Molecule: ribosomal RNA, 253 nt
Filed under: uncultured bacterium
Lineage: Bacteria
Description: partial 16S ribosomal RNA
Rfam family: Bacterial small subunit ribosomal RNA
Source: RNAcentral
UACGGAGGGUGCAAGCGUUAUCCGGAUUCACUGGGUUUAAAGGGUGCGUAGGUGGGCAAGUAAGUCAGUGGUGAAAUCUCCGGGCUUAACCCGGAAACUGCCAUUGAUACUAUUUGUCUUGAAUACUGUGGAGGUCAGCGGAAUAUGUCAUGUAGCGGUGAAACGCUUAGAUAUGACAUAGAACACCAAUUGCGAAGGCAGCUGGCUACACAAAUAUUGACACUGAGGCACGAAAGCGUGGGGAUCAAACAGG